CGCAGCUGCGCUCCCUGCAGCGUAACUGCUCGGGCGCCAACAGCUGUCUUCUGCAGACGGAGAAAGCAGACGGUGACGUCACGUUGUGCCCGACCACCAACGCCAGCCGAGUGACCAGUCAGACGAUACUCAACUACGUUUGUAUAAGCGACAGUUUGGUGUCUGAAAUCUGCAACGUUGACGAGUCAGUGGUCAGCGGCAUCACACUGUUCGCUCGCUUGGAUGGCCGGACUCCGGUCAACAAGCGGCUGGCGAAGGGCAGCGUGUGCACGUGCACGGCGGAGACGACAAGAUGGCCGACCAACAACUCGAUCGCCGUCUUCGUGGUGGACACCCGCCUCAACAGGCCGGAAGUGUCCGACUGCGCAAACGCAUCGUUUUCUGUCAGAUCUGUCAACAACAACCGGGUGUUCGACUGCUCCUCCAACCGAGACCCCAGGGUCAACUACCCCUUCGUCACGGUCCUGAACGAGAGCAACGUGGCGCACCUGCGGUUCCAGGUGACCAGCGGUCUGCCAGAGUAUAUCUGGGUCGGGUUUGAAGCGAACCUAAACGAGGACAUCCGUGUGUCGUGUAAACUCCAGGGCGUGGUCCCCAUCAAACAAGACGACCCUAAAGGG
Molecule: long non-coding RNA, 620 nt
Organism: Physella acuta
Lineage: Eukaryota; Metazoa; Mollusca; Gastropoda; Physidae
Source: RefSeq, a predicted model, not a curated record